RNAcentral lists this ribosomal RNA (241 nucleotides) under uncultured bacterium. RNAcentral's name for it is "partial 16S ribosomal RNA". It matches the Rfam family "Bacterial small subunit ribosomal RNA", at positions 524 to 765 of the family's 1533-position model. The record is from RNAcentral.
UACAGAGGGGGCAAGCGUUGUUCGGAAUUACUGGGCGUAAAGGGCGCGUAGGCGGCCUGUUAAGUCGAACGUGAAAUCCCCGGGCUCAACCCUGGGAACUGCGUCCGAUACUGGCAGGCUUGAAUCCGGGAGAGGGAUGUGGAAUUCCAGGUGUAGCGGUGAAAUGCGUAGAUAUCUGGAGGACACCGGUGGCGAAGGCGACAUCCUGGACCGGUAUGACGCUGAGGCGCGAAAGCCAGGG